GGACGUUAUGUCAGGCUCUGUUCCACAUUUCAGACCACUUAUCAAACAAAAAUCCUUUACACUGAAUUGAGCAACAUUGGACCCUAUUGCACAACUAAGGCCCAGCAUGUCCUUAACACCAAGUCCUCCGACUUGCUGGAGUGCCAGAGCAUGCACAAUUUGACCACUAAAUGCAAUUUUAUGGAGGUCCAACAGCUGCCCAAAACAGCUUUCUCUAAAUCUUUUCAUAAGCGACUCACUGAAAUGCGCCACAAAAUUACACAUGACUGAAUUCGCCGCAUACAAAUUAUUCAUCCGCGCAGUAUAGACCUCUGACUUCGGGAAACAAAGUUCAAACCCAGAUUCCAUUUUAUAACU
RNAcentral lists this long non-coding RNA (357 nucleotides) under Prunus persica (peach). RNAcentral's name for it is "long non-coding RNA (PPER_LNC004441)". Lineage: Eukaryota; Viridiplantae; Streptophyta; Magnoliopsida; Rosales; Rosaceae. The record is from RNAcentral.